RNAcentral lists this ribosomal RNA (393 nucleotides) under uncultured bacterium. Its description in RNAcentral is "partial 16S ribosomal RNA". It matches the Rfam family "Bacterial small subunit ribosomal RNA", at positions 523 to 918 of the family's 1533-position model. The record is from RNAcentral.
AUACGGAGGAUGCAAGCGUUAUCCGGACUUAUUGGGUUUAAAGGGUGCGUAGGCGGUUUGCUAAGCGGGAGGUGAAAUGCCGGCGCUCAACGUCGGAAGUGCCUCCCGAACUGGUGGACUGGAAUGACUCUGCCGUGGGAGGAAUGUGUAGUGUAGCGGUGAAAUGGUUAGAGAUUACCCAGAACACCGAAUGCGAAGGCAUCUCACGAAGAGGUGAUUGACGCUGAGGCACGAAAGCGUGGGGAACAAACAGGAUUAGAUACCCUGGUAAUCCACGCAGUAAACGAUGAUGGCUAACCGCUGGGCUUAUCAGUUCAGUGGCCAAGCGAAAGCGAUAAGCCAUCCACCUGGGGAGUACGACCGCAAGGUUGAAACUUAAAGAAAUUGACGGGG